This 2405-nucleotide unclassified non-coding RNA is filed under the name Hevea brasiliensis (rubber tree). The record is from RNAcentral. Lineage: Eukaryota; Viridiplantae; Streptophyta; Magnoliopsida; Malpighiales; Euphorbiaceae.
UUCCUGCUUUCCUCUUCUUCUCGUCGAUUUAAGCUCCCAAAAUUGCUGCCUUGUUCUAGUGUGCUUUGCCGCCACUGCCUCUUGUGUUAAGCUGAUAGAGUUUUCGGAGCUAGCAAUAUCGUCAAGUUCCUACAUUUUUAUGCGACUAAAGCUGAUCGCAAAUUCGAGAAGGAACUUCAGUUUUAUUACAAGGUUAGAGAUACGGUUGCCAGUUUGACUGCACAAAAGCCCAUUACUAAGGCAACACUUGUCCAACCCCCAUGCCUCUUUGUUGUGGGACUCUAUCAGCUUUUUACCUUCACACCAAGCUCCAACCACUGCAAUCAUUUCUGAAUUACUAUGGCGAUUGGCGGCAUUAAACAAGCUAGAGAUCUGCCUCUACUCAUGAAUCGCGUCAAGUGAGCCAAGGAAACAAGGCCAAGUUACAGUGAUGACUGUGGAGGGGUUUUGUCAGUCUUGCCAUGUCAUCCACCAAAUGUUUGAUAUUUUACCCAUCUGAGAACCAAUACUCUCUUCUCCAUUUGGUUUUACAAAUUUGGCUUAUCCAAAAUGGCAUUGCUUCUGUUUAAGAAACCAACUAGUCUCACGUUGCUAGUGAGUUCCCAUUUCCUCUCAAUGGUGUCUAGUUUUUGCUCAAAGGCUUCUGCUAUUGUGGAGAAGACAAACAGCACGGUCACAAAAGCAUCUGUCAAUAACAGACGAAACCCUUCAGUGAAUUACUCUAGUAAUAUUCAUCUUUCCCCAUUAUUCAGCCAUGGGAGACCUUGUUUGGAUCGUUAUGAUAUUGAGCUUGUGGACAAUGAUACAUGGCAAAUUUCAUCAGGUUUAGCUCAUGCCUACAAAGGGUUGGAUAGGGAAAUGGAAAGGCAGUCUCAGUCUGCUACUGAAGCAUAUGAUGAGCAGGUUGAUUAUGCAGCAUCUUUGAAGGGUGACCCUGAUUUUGACGAGAUUGAUAGUAUGAGGAUUCGGGGCAAUCUUUUUUAUAAGCUUGACCGGGACUCCAAGGAGUUUGAAGAGUACAGUUUUGACUUUCACAGGAAGAAAUCCUCAAAGAGAAAGGAUGGUCCCAAGGGAAAGGAAAAGAAGGAAUCUUCAAAGAUGGAUGAUACCAGAAAAGAAAUCAAAAAGAAGGAAAGCCCAAGUUGUACUUCAGCUCUUGCAGUUAAAAACCUUCAACAGAUAGUGAAGAAUGAAAGUGUCUAUUCUGUGCUUCUUGAUGAUAUGGAUGGCUCUUGCAGUGUUGGGAAAAAGAAGGUUAGAACACCAACUUUCAAUCAGCUGACUGCUCCUUACCAUGAACCAUUUUGUUUGGAUAUUUUCAUAUCAAAAGCCUCUGUCCGUGCCUGCAUUAUUCAUCGGGUUACAAGCAAGGUGGUGGCUGUGGCACAUUCGAUAUCUAAAGACAUAAAAUUUGAUCUACCCUCAACAAGGAAUGCAGCUGCUUGUGAUGCCGUAGGAGCAAUUCUAGCACAAAGAGCUUUGGCAGAUGAUAUUCACAAUGUGGUUUACACACCAAGAAAAGGUGAGAGAUUGGAGGGUAAGCUUCAGAUUGUGCUUCAGUCUAUUAUAGAUAAUGGCAUUAAUGUGAAGCUGAAGCUUAAACAAAGGAAGCCUCAGACGGCUGGACUCCCACAUAGACCUAGUGCUUAGAGCAUUAUUGCCUAAGUGGCUGUAUAUGGACUAUGGAGUCACCUUAUUCAUCUGGCUGUGUAUAGGGCCUCCUCAUUCGUCUGCUAGUGUUGCUCUAUGGCCAUGGUAAUAUUGUUGCAACUUGCAAGAACUAGAUCUUUGAUGCUUGAAACUAAUUUCAGACUUCAGAAGCAAUCCUACUUCAAAAGCAGAGACUUUUAGUCAUGACUUCUGGUUGAGAAGUUUUAGGAAUGGCACGAGUCCCUAUAAUAUUUUCAAUGCAAAACAUGGAGGUUUUCUUUCAACAGCCAUUUCAUUUAAGUGUUGUGCUGAGUUGCAGUCAGACAGGAAAUCACAUCAUCAUGAAAAGUGGCAAACUUUCAGAAUAUUUCUGCUUCCAGUUCAUAUUGCUUGCGAUAACAAAGCAGAGCAAGCCAGUCUACUACAGAAUGUUUUGUUACUCAUGCGAAGAAGAGAGAAUAGCCUUGCAAAAUGUCUAGUGUAAUUACAGUAUCUAAUUGUGAUGCACAAAUGCUUGAAUAAAUUAAAGGCCUGUUUCCCACGAUUAAACUUUUACAGUCUGAUUAAAUUGUAGGGUCUUGUAGAAAAAUAUGCUCUUCAAUCAAUAGGAAUGUUAUAGAUGGCGGAUUCAUUAUGUAUAAAGUGAAUUAAUAUCAGUAUGAUAUCAAGGCUUUUUUUCUCGUCUUGAUUCAGUUGAUCCUUUUCUAGAUCUGUCAAUUCCAAGUUCCAUUUUGUUAUUAUGAGAUGAGUUCUUA